UGGUUUUUACGGAGCAUCUCAUCAGGCGUCAUCCGAUGACCAAACAGCCACUCCAUGAUUCUUCUUCGGUUUUCG
Long non-coding RNA from Aricia agestis (brown argus), 75 nucleotides. RefSeq lists it as uncharacterized. The transcript is spliced from 3 exons. Lineage: Eukaryota; Metazoa; Arthropoda; Insecta; Lepidoptera; Lycaenidae. The record is from RefSeq and is a predicted model, not a curated record.